UCACGCCGGUCUAAACUCAGAUCAUGUAAAAUUUUAAAGGUCGAACAGACCUAUAUUUUCAGCUGCUACACCAAAAAUUAAUUUUAAUCCAACAUCGAGGUCGCAAACUUUUCUUUCGAUUAGAACUCUCAAAAAAUAUUACGCUGUUAUCCCUAAGGUAAUUUUUUCUUUUAAUCAUAAAAUAUGGAUCAAAUAAUCAUAUAUUAAUGUCUUUAAUUAAAAAAAGUUAACUAAAUUUUUCAAUCACCCCAAUUAAAUAUAAUUUAAAAUUAAAAAUUUAUAUACCAAUAAAUAUUAAUAUUAAUAUUUAUAUAAAACUCUAUAGGGUCUUCUCGUCUUUUAAAAUAAUUUAAGCUUUUUAACUAAAUAAUAAAUUUUUAAUUUAAUUUAAAUAGAGACAGUUAUUUUCUCAUCCAACCAUUCAUUCUAGCUUCUAAUUAAGAAACUAUUGAUUAUGCUACCUUAGCACAGUCAAAAUACCGCGGCCAUUCAAUAUUAUCAGUGGGCAGGCUAAACCUAAAAUUAAAAUUCAAUAAGACAUGUUUUUAAUAAACAGGUGAAAAAUUAAUUUGCCGAGUUCCUUUACUUAACCUAAAAAUUUAAAAUUAAUUUUACAUUAAAAUUAUACUAAUUUUAUCAUUAUUACUUAAUAAAAAAAAUUAAAACUAAAAUUUUAAUAAAAAAAUUAUAAAAAAUAAAAAUUAAAUUUUAAAAAAAAUAAAUUAUAACAUUUUAUUAAUAAUAGAUACUUCUAAUCUUAUAACUUCUUUUAACUUUUACUAUCUAAUAAUUUUCUAUUUUUAAGCUUAUCCCUAAAAAUAUUAAAUAUCAAUAUUAAAAAAAUUAAAAAAUUAAAUUUUUAAUAAAUAAUAUUCUAAAUUAAAUUUUUUUCUUAAAAAACUAGAUAUAUUUAAAAACGAUUAACAUUUAAUUACAAAAAACUUAUUAAUAAUAUUUUUAAAACAAUAAAAAAUAUAAGUUCUUAGCUCUUUUAAAUUCGAGAUAAUAAAAUAUUUCAAAUUAAUUAAUAAACCCUGACACACAAGGUACAAAAAUUUAAAUCUUCUUAUAAUCAAUUAAAUAAAUUCUCUCACAAUACUUAUAAACUAUCAUAAAAACCUAUUUUUUCUUUAUAAAUAAUAAAAAAAAAAUUACUUAUAAUAAAAUAAAAUUAAAUAUUAAUUAUAAUAAUUUAUUAAUU
Molecule: ribosomal RNA, 1201 nt
Filed under: Mimosestes ulkei
Lineage: Eukaryota; Metazoa; Arthropoda; Insecta; Coleoptera; Chrysomelidae
Description: partial 16S ribosomal RNA
Source: RNAcentral